This 22-nucleotide transfer RNA is filed under the name Salamandra algira (North African fire salamander). RNAcentral describes it as "partial tRNA-Asn". Lineage: Eukaryota; Metazoa; Chordata; Amphibia; Caudata; Salamandridae. The record is from RNAcentral.
AGGGUAGGUACCUGCUAAUCUA